CAGAUAGAGUUUGAUCAUGGCUCAGAUUGAACGCUGGCGGCAUGCCUUACACAUGCAAGUCGAACGGCAGCACGGGAGCUUGCUCCUGGUGGCGAGUGGCGAACGGGUGAGUAAUACAUCGGAACGUACCCAGGAGUGGGGGAUAACGUAGCGAAAGUUACGCUAAUACCGCAUAUUCUGUGAGCAGGAAAGCGGGGGAUCGCAAGACCUCGCGCUCUUGGAGCGGCCGAUGUCGGAUUAGCUAGUUGGUGAGGUAAGAGCUCACCAAGGCGACGAUCCGUAGCAGGUCUGAGAGGAUGAUCUGCCACACUGGGACUGAGACACGGCCCAGACUCCUACGGGAGGCAGCAGUGGGGAAUUUUGGACAAUGGGGGCAACCCUGAUCCAGCCAUGCCGCGUGAGUGAAGAAGGCCUUCGGGUUGUAAAGCUCUUUCGGCGGGGAAGAAAUGGCAACGGCUAAUAUCUGUUGUUGAUGACGGUACCCGCAUAAGAAGCACCGGCUAACUACGUGCCAGCAGCCGCGGUAAUACGUAGGGUGCGAGCGUUAAUCGGAAUUACUGGGCGUAAAGCGU
This 572-nucleotide ribosomal RNA is filed under the name uncultured bacterium. RNAcentral's name for it is "bacterial SSU rRNA". It matches the Rfam family "Bacterial small subunit ribosomal RNA", at positions 1 to 568 of the family's 1533-position model. The record is from RNAcentral.